RNAcentral lists this ribosomal RNA (775 nucleotides) under uncultured Neocallimastigales. Its description in RNAcentral is "partial large subunit ribosomal RNA". It matches the Rfam family "Eukaryotic large subunit ribosomal RNA", at positions 18 to 616 of the family's 3401-position model. The record is from RNAcentral. Lineage: Eukaryota; Fungi; Neocallimastigomycota; Neocallimastigomycetes; Neocallimastigales.
UCAGACGAUGCGUCAUGCAUAUCAAUAAGCGGAGGAAAAGAAACUAACAAGGAUUCCCCUAGUAACGGCGAGUGAAGCGGGAAGAGCUCAAAUUUGAAAUCUUAAAGGGUUUCCCUUUACGAAUUGUAGUUUAAGGAAGUGUUUUCUGUUGAGGUUUUGGUAAAAGUUCUUUGGAAUAGGACAUCAUAGAGGGUGAGAAUCCCGUAUUUGACCUUUACUUUCAACUUUGUGAUACACUUUCAAAGAGUCGGAUUGUUUGGGAAUGCAGUCCAAAAUGGGUGGUAAAUUUCACCUAAAGCUAAAUAUUGGCGAGAGACCGAUAGCGAACAAGUACCGUGAGGGAAAGAUGAAAAGAACUUUGAAAUGAGAGUUUAACAGUACGUGAAAUUGUCAAAAGGGAAGCGUUUGACACCAGUGUUGUUUUUCUGAAAAUCAAUUAAAGAACUGUUUAUGCUAAGCUUGUUUAGACUUUAUCAGCUAUCUGUUUAGUUUUGAGCUUUUCUUUAAUGCACUUUUCAGUUAACAAGUCAACAUCAAUUUCUUUUGCUGUAAAAAAGCUUGAGGAAGGUGGCUUGAGAUUCGUCUUAAGUGUUUAUAGCCUCUUGCCUAUGCAGUCGGAGAGAUUGAGGUCUGCAGCGUAGAUCCUUCGGGGCUAAAUGCAUUUGUGCUAAGUUAUAGCAUUUUAUAGACAACUUGUUGACUAUGAUUUGUCUUGUAGCUUACUCGCUUAUGUUAUUUUACCUACGCUUAGGAUGUUGAGCGCAUGUCUCUCUCU